RNAcentral lists this unclassified non-coding RNA (223 nucleotides) under Hevea brasiliensis (rubber tree). The record is from RNAcentral. Lineage: Eukaryota; Viridiplantae; Streptophyta; Magnoliopsida; Malpighiales; Euphorbiaceae.
GGACGAGGAACUCAAGCACGAACUAUAACAGGCAAGUGCAGAAUCUGAACCGUGGUGGUGGCCGAAGGAAUUGGCUCAAAAUAGACUCCAGAUUAAAUCAUGAAGAUAGACCCAAUUGUAGUCUGGCCAAGAACCUUUGAGAUUCGAUCAAGGCCAUGACAAGCAACCAUAUAUGAUAGGGCAGCAUAACGCUCUUCAUUCAAAUACAAUGGUUUUCCCCGAC